This is a long non-coding RNA of Hibiscus syriacus, 371 nucleotides long. RefSeq lists it as uncharacterized. The transcript has 3 exons. NCBI's taxonomy places the organism in Eukaryota, Viridiplantae, Streptophyta, Magnoliopsida, Malvales, Malvaceae. The record is from RefSeq and is a predicted model, not a curated record.
UUUAAAAUUCCUCUGUUCUGUCCUCAGGAUGUUCCAUAUAUCUUCAAUUUAGAAUGGACAAUGAACUCAAGACUUAAAAACUUGGUACAACAGUUUUAGGAGCAUCUGGAGAAGCUUCAAGGAUUCUGGUCUACUUUGGAAGAAAUUGACAGGUCUCUUCAGAUUGUUGAUUUAAAGCAGGCAUCUCGUGCGAUUGUGAGUCGCCAAAUUCAAGUAGGAAACGAUUGCUCUAUGAUAUUGUCUAUCAAUAUCAAUGAUCCUAGAUCAUUACCAGAGUAAGAAUUAAUAUAAAAUUAUAUUAAAAGCUUCUUACAUUUCCUUUAGUAUGAAUAAUUAAUAUUUAGGUCUUUGUAGGUGUCGUUUAAUGGGUU